RNAcentral lists this small nuclear RNA (147 nucleotides) under Microtus ochrogaster (prairie vole). RNAcentral's name for it is "U1 spliceosomal RNA (ENSMOCG00000011241.1)". Lineage: Eukaryota; Metazoa; Chordata; Mammalia; Rodentia; Cricetidae. The record is from RNAcentral.
GGACAUGCAGAGCAUUGGUAUAUAAGAUAUAAAUAGGGCGGGGCUUCUUCAUCGCACUCAGGAUGUGCCUACCCCUCCUACUUUCCCCAAAUGCAGGAAAUUCGACUGCAUAAUUUGUGAUCAUGGGGGUAUUGCACUGGCGUUCUC